UGUAAAAUCUAUUUUUGCAUUUUCAGAUAAAAAUGCACGCGUGCGCACAAUACAUGAAUAGCUUAGCUGGGCGCAUUUAAACAUGUAUAUAACAAAACAGGAAUAAAACUUUUCAAAUUAUGAAACAAAAAGUUAAUACAGUGAUGGGAAUACUUUUUAGUUUAAUUACCUAAUGGAAUAAUUUGAUAGUGAAUGUUUAAAAGAAUUUUAAAGGAAUGAUAUCUUUCCUCAUUUUUCUGAAUAUGAAGUUUGUUUUUUAACAACCAUGAUGUAAGUAAAUCAUGAUGUGUUGUUCCCUCAAAGAUCGACAGUCCACAUGUGCUGUGUCGAUCGGAGGAUAUUCCUUUGGUUGUUCGUUCCUAUAGAA
This is a long non-coding RNA of Ruditapes philippinarum (Manila clam), 367 nucleotides long. RefSeq lists it as uncharacterized. NCBI's taxonomy places the organism in Eukaryota, Metazoa, Mollusca, Bivalvia, Venerida, Veneridae. The record is from RefSeq and is a predicted model, not a curated record. The transcript has 3 exons.